GCAAAGCAUUCUGGGAGAUCCAGAGAUGGGAGGGCCAGUCAAGACUCCUCUCCCCAAAGCAAAGCCAAGCAAGAAAAAAUCAUCAGGAAUCCACCUUUUAUAUCAUGGUCUCUUGAUAAAAGUUAUGCAACAUUUUGGAAAACCCAGGCACAGUUAAAUCAUAAUAGUGGAAAGCUACGAACUUAUUGCAAGAUCAAGACAAAUUUUAAACUAGAAAAAUAUUUAUCAGAAGCUAAUGUUAGACGCCGACAAUCUAUGACUAGAUUGCGUGUCUCGGCACACAAACUAGCAAUUGAAACAGGCCGCUA
Nematostella vectensis (starlet sea anemone) is the source of this 308-nucleotide long non-coding RNA. RefSeq lists it as uncharacterized. NCBI's taxonomy places the organism in Eukaryota, Metazoa, Cnidaria, Anthozoa, Actiniaria, Edwardsiidae. The transcript has 2 exons. The record is from RefSeq and is a predicted model, not a curated record.